RNAcentral lists this transfer RNA (59 nucleotides) under Proasellus arthrodilus. RNAcentral describes it as "transfert RNA-R(CGA)". The record is from RNAcentral. Lineage: Eukaryota; Metazoa; Arthropoda; Malacostraca; Isopoda; Asellidae.
AGAUAAGAAGUGGUUACACGCUUUAAUUUCGAACUAAAGAAAGAAUUUUUCCUUAUCUA